This is a long non-coding RNA of Zingiber officinale, 4030 nucleotides long. RefSeq lists it as uncharacterized. The transcript is spliced from 3 exons. NCBI's taxonomy places the organism in Eukaryota, Viridiplantae, Streptophyta, Magnoliopsida, Zingiberales, Zingiberaceae. The record is from RefSeq and is a predicted model, not a curated record.
AUAAAAGCAACUUUACCUCUGGGACAAUGGGCUGAGCCUCGGGGAGCCGUCCACCUGUCUCAAAUGCAAAGAAGCUGAGUGUGUACCCAAUAAGCCUACUACUAGGCCACUAGCAAAUGUGUGUAAAAGGAGAUAUGAUAGGAUGACGAUGGGGCCCAAUGAGCACCCGAUUCAUCAUUUCUCCUCUUUUUAUAAGCACCUAGAAGUCCUCAUUGCAAGACACAAGUCGAGUUCACGACACAAGUCUUACUCUGAGUUCUCUGUAAGUUUUAAUUCGAGACGACUUACAAAUUCUCAGGCGGCAACUAUUCGCUUGGGAUGUGAAUGUCAUGACAGGCAUUGGAUUCCAGAAAAAUGAUUGGCAGUGCUAAUCUAUUCCAGAUUAUAUCUCUUCAAAGCAAACAAUCCUCUCAUUGGUACACAACUCAACUCUCAGUGUCAGGCAGUUAAGUAUCUUAAGACUUGUUUUCAUUCCAAUAAAGAUAGUGACAUUAUGUUAUGGCACUAUCGAUUAGGCCAUCCAAAUUUUAUGUAACUAAAGCAUCUGUUCCCAUCACUAUUUGUUAGUAAAAAACCAAAUUCAUUUAGUGUGAUGUUUGCCAACUCUCUAAACAUACUCAUAGCACAUAUUCCCCUAUUCCAUAUAAUCCAUCUCAUCCAUUUUCCCUUAUUCACGGGGAUAUUUGGGAUCCCAAUAAAAUACCAAAUCUCACUGGGGCUCAUUGGUUCUUACUAUUAGUUGAUGAUCAUACCUGAAUAAGUUGGACAUUCCUUAUGAAAGAUAAAUCUGAAACCAGCAACAUUUUUAAAAAAUUUCAUGUAAUGAUUAAAAACCAAUUCCACACAGAUAUCCAAGUUUUCAACUCUGACAAUGCCCGUGACUUCUUUAAUUCCAAUCUUGGUCCAUAUUUGAAUGACCAUGGCAUUGCACAUCAAAGUUCCUGUGUAGAAACUCCAUAACAAAACGGAAUUGUUGAACACAAAAUCGUCACAUAUUAGAAAUAGCUCAAUCCAUGUUGUUUCAAGUUAAUGCCCCAAAAAGUUUUUGGGUGAAGUUGUUCUUAUGGAAACCUAUCUAAUAAAUAGGAUGCCUUCUCAUGUCAUCAACGUCCAAACACCACUCCAAGCCCUUGUCCACCUAUAUCCAAACUCUCAUCUUGUUUCGAAAAUUCUGAUAAAAAUCUUUAGUUGUACUGUCUUUGUCCAAGUCUACCCUCAUAACAGAAGUAAACUUGAUGAACGUGCAAUUAAAUGCAUGUUCAUUAGGUCCUCGAAUAAAAAGAGUUACAAAUGCUUCUCGCCUACAACCCAAAAAUUCUACACUAAAGACGUCCAUUCUUCUCCAUUUCCGAAAUUCACUCAGAAUUAGAAUUGGUCCUCUCUACACUCUGCCGCUUUUGUCUGAGGCACCUAAGGAUAAUCAACCACCUCCUUUGGUCGACCAAUCUCCUUUAGCUGAUCAACUUCAGACUUCUGACAGUCCACCCGGUCAUCUAAAUCUUUCAGAUAAGUCUAUUAAAAUUUACAAACGCUUGGAACAGACCAAGCACAACCAAGAAUCAACUCUAAAUCCAGUGACAGACGAAAUAGCACAGGUUGAACCAGCAAUUAGUCCUCAGUCAGAGCUCGUGGAUUCUGAAUCACUAGAUAAUUCUAUCUUCAAUUUGAAUCGACCAAUUGCUCUUUGGAAAGGUACCAAAUCCUGUACAAUGCAUCUAAUUCAAAAUUAUCUGUCAUAUGUCAGUCUCUCGGAGAAGUUUAGAGCUUUUGUGUCAACACUAUGGCAUACUGCUGUCCUUAAAGAAUAUUGGGCUCUAAUGGUGAAUGAAACUUGGAUAUUCACACCACUACCACCUGGGAAGAGAGUUGUUAGAUGUAAGUGACUUAUUUCCGUGAAACAGAAGGCAUAUGGAAGUGUUGAUCAAUUUAAGGCACGUCUAGUGGCAAAGAAUUCACACAGUCCAAUGGGAUUGACUAUCAUGAGACUUUUGCUCCAGUUACCAAGUUCAAUGUCAUAAGAGUUCUCCUAUCUUGCGUCGUAAAUCAAGAGUGGCCAAUAUUCUAACUGGAUGUGAAAAAUGCAUUCCUGAAUGGCGAUUUAGUUGAAGAAGUAUAUAUGGAAAUUCCACCAAGAUUUGAGAAUGGUCAGACAUGAGGGAAAGUAUGUAAACUCAAGAAAUCUUUGUAUGGACUCAAGCAGUCACCACGGGCGUGGUUCGAGAGGUUUUCCAAGGUCCUGAAGCUGGAAGACUACUAUCAAUCCCAAGUCGAUCACACAUUGUUUGUUAAGCACACCCCAAAUGAUAAGGUGACCAUUCUAAUCGUAUACGUCAAUGAUAUAGUACUCACAGGAGACAAUGAAGAGGAAAUAAAACGACUUAAAAAUGUCCUAUCCAAGGAAUUUGCGAUGAAGGACCUAGGACUUCUCAGAUAUUGUUUUGGUAUGGAAGUUGGUAGAUCUUAUCAAGGAAUACCGGUCUCUCAACGCAGAUACGUGUUAGACUUGCUUCGUGAAACUGGUAUGAGUGGUUGUCAUCCAUCGAAAACACCUAUAGAUCCUAAUGUCAAAUUGAAGGCUAGAACAGAGGACGAAACUGUUGAUAGGGAGCAAUAUCAGCACCUAAUAGGUAAAUUGAUUUACCUCACUCACACACGGCCAGAUAUCAGCUAUGUAGUGAGUCAUGUUAGCCAGUUCCUCACCAAUCCUUCAGUUGAUCACUUGAAGGUUGUUCAUAGAAGCUUAAGAUACUUGAAGGGAGAUCCUGGAAAAGGACUUUUCUUUAAGAAAACGACAAAUCAAUCUGUGGAAAACUUUACAGAUGUUGACUAGGCAGGAUCUCAGAGUGAUCGAAGGCCAACAUCUGGUUAUUGUUCAUUUGUAUGGGGAAAUUUGGUCACUUGGCGCAACAAGAAACAGUCAGUAGUUGCUUGUAGUAGUGCUGAGGCAGAACUCCGAGCCUUAAUUCAAGGCGUUUGUGAAGGAAUAUGGUUAAAAUGAUUGUUAAAGAGCUCAUAAUUAGUUUUCAAGGUCCUGUACAGGUGAUGUGUGACAAUCAGUUAACUAUGGCAAUGGCUAAGAAUCCUGUCCAACAUGAUCAAUCAAAACAUGUUGAAAUUGAUUGGCAUUUUCUCAAUGAGAAGAUACAAGAUAAGAGUGUGUUGAUGAACUAUGUCCCUUCUCAUCAGCAAGUUGCGGAUAUUUUCACCAAGUCUCUAUUCAGAUCCACCUUCAUUGAACUUAAUCUAAGACUUGGCUUAAUGAGUAUCUAUCGCAUAGUUUGAGGGGGAGUGUGGAAAAUCAAACUAUCCUAAUUUGGAUGAUUCUAAUAUUCUGCUACAGAUGUUAAUAUCUUGUAUCUAUAGCUAUUCCAUGUAAUUAGUUAUCAAUCACGCAAUUAGUUUAGCUUUAUUUUAGGUAAUACCUUGUGUAUUUAUACUACAUCUAUCCAUGAAUAAAAGGUACUCUAUUUUUCCUCUCAAAACCACAAUACCAAUAGCUGGUCCACAGAUUGCAUCACAAGCCAAAAUACCAAUAAUCUUAGUAACCAUUCUUGCCAAAAGUAUUGUCAAGAAAUGAUUGUUUCCCAGCCAUGGCAACAUGCACAACCUAGUGAGUAAGCUACCCCAGUGAGCUCCAUAUCAAGUAAUAAAGAAACCAUCAGUUAUGCUAGAAAUGAACUCUUGUUUUCACUCUUUUUUUAGUGUGGACCAGAUAAUGAACAUUCUAUGCUCCUCUUCCAACCUAUUGGACUCCUAGUGUACUAAAGAGAAGACAUAUAAAUUACUCAUAUUACAUGAUUUUUAAUUUUUAUAACAGUAUUUUGCUCACACUGAGCCAAGGUCCUAGAACCAUCAAGAGGACAUAUUAAGUGAAUGUAACCACUGAUAAAUCUCAUUCAUAAAAAAAUAUGCUUGCCUGAUAGGUCCUAGAUUCACAUGCUUGUCACUCGGAAGAAGAAAAAAAAAACCAUUGGACUUUAUCACAUGAAAGGAGAACAAAAACUCAUACCCUAAGUCUAAUGUUCAUACC